This 691-nucleotide long non-coding RNA is filed under the name Pan troglodytes (chimpanzee). RNAcentral's name for it is "long non-coding RNA NONPTRT003824". The record is from RNAcentral. Lineage: Eukaryota; Metazoa; Chordata; Mammalia; Primates; Hominidae.
AGUAAAUUAUAUUUAUAUAGAAGUUAGUUUUAUCUCUGAUUAUAUGAAAAAACAUACAAUAUCAGUGACAUUCAUACUAAAGGGUAUCAAUGACUUGGUUGUAGCCCAAUUAUUUGGAGAUACUUAAGAUGCAAAAAAGCAAAAUGAAAAUCUUUCUGAUAAAACUAACCCAAACAUCAACAUCUGUGCUGUUUGUUAUAGAAGCAUCAGGGAAGACAAAUUAGAAUGUGAAUCCUAAAAGAUAGAAUAAUUGGGGUGGGAAGCAUGUUCAGCAAUGUGCUGUAACAUAUUAAGUAAUCGCUGAUUCCCUUUGUUUUGUGAAAGGAAUUUUUGAAGAGGUACGCAGGAACUGAUAUGCACUGGAUUGGACUAAGCAGGAAACAAGGAGAUUCUUGGAAAUGGACAAAUGGCACCACAUUCAAUGAUUGGUGAGUUGUUCUUAACUUACGGCAAUAUGGUUGUUUGCAUCAGUGCAAUAAGAAUCCAUUUUUCUUUUGCAACAGGACACAAUUGGAGAAAGUGUUUAUUUUACCAACACUUUAACUGGAAGGGUAAGCUUGCCUUUAAGAAGUCAAUCUCGACUUGCAGAGCCAAUAAAAGUCCAGUGGGGAAACUGGCCUCAUACCCUUGCUUACUCAGUCCCUGUACAGGGUUCUUGACCUGUGGUCAGUAAAGAAUGUCACUUUCUAAC